GACGGAGGAUGCAAGUGUUAUCCGGAAUCACUGGGCGUAAAGGGCGCGUAGGCGGCCCGGUAAGUAGGGGGUGAAAUCCUGCGGCUUAACCGCAGGGCUGCCUUCUAAACUGUCGGGCUCGAGCACGGUAGAGGCAGAUGGAAUUCCUGGUGUAGCGGUGGAAUGCGCAGAUAUCAGGAGGAACACCGAUGGCGAAGGCAGUUCUCUGGGCCGUAACUGACGCUGAGGAGCGAAAGCGUGGGGAGCGAACAGG
Molecule: ribosomal RNA, 253 nt
Filed under: uncultured bacterium
Lineage: Bacteria
Description: partial 16S ribosomal RNA
Rfam family: Bacterial small subunit ribosomal RNA
Source: RNAcentral